CCAGCAUCGGGCGCAGCGUGCGCAUCCCCUCCGCCGUCUGCCGGAUGCGCGCGGCGGCCUCCUCCGCGGUCAGCUCCGGCUCGAAGAACCGCUCCCGCACGUACGACUUGGUGCCCCACCGCGGCACGGUCCCCGGCGACGUCGGCGCCGGCACGAACGCCGCCUCCGCGGCCAUCGCGGGCGGGGGCGCCGCGGGACGGCGCGCGUACAGCGCGGCCGUGGCCGCCAGCGCCGUGGACGCGGCCACCGCCAGCCGCCGCGUCGCGGACUGCGGCGGCGGCGCCUGCUGAUGCGGCUGAUUGUCCGAGCCACCCGCGGUGGCGUUGGGAGGCAGGGGCCGGCGGCGGCGCGGCGAGGGGGAUGACGAGGUGGAGGAGCAGAGGAUGAGGUGCUUGGCGAGCGUGGCCAUGGCGGAGCUGAGUGGACUGGUGCAAGUCACGGUGUGAUUAG
Molecule: long non-coding RNA, 450 nt
Filed under: Setaria italica (foxtail millet)
Lineage: Eukaryota; Viridiplantae; Streptophyta; Magnoliopsida; Poales; Poaceae
Description: long non-coding RNA (SITA_LNC000520)
Source: RNAcentral